CAGUAGCCGCGGUAAUACAGAGGGUGCAAGCGUUAAUCGGAAUUACUGGGCGUAAAGCGCGCGUAGGUGGUUUGUUAAGUUGGAUGUGAAAUCCCCGGGCUCAACCUGGGAACUGCAUCCAAAACUGGCAGGCUAGAGUAGGGCAGAGGGUGGUGGAAUUUCCUGUGUAGCGGUGAAAUGCGUAGAUAUAGGAAGGAACACCAGUGGCGAAGACGACCACCUGGGCUCAUACUGACACUGAGGUGCGAAAGCGUGGGGAGCAAACAGGAUUAGAUACCCCCGUAGUCCCUGUCUCUUAUAC
RNAcentral lists this ribosomal RNA (301 nucleotides) under uncultured bacterium. RNAcentral describes it as "partial 16S ribosomal RNA". It matches the Rfam family "Bacterial small subunit ribosomal RNA", at positions 509 to 807 of the family's 1533-position model. The record is from RNAcentral.